Non-coding RNA from Mycena vulgaris, 94 nucleotides. The record is from the annotation of a GenBank genome assembly. NCBI's taxonomy places the organism in Eukaryota, Fungi, Basidiomycota, Agaricomycetes, Agaricales, Mycenaceae.
GGUGUGGUUUAAUGGGAGAGCACCGCUCCAUCGUAAGAUUCAGAUAUUUCUCACGUCUCAGGCGGGGGUCCGAGUUCGAUUCUCGGCGCAAGCA